Hemicordylus capensis (graceful crag lizard) is the source of this 191-nucleotide long non-coding RNA. RefSeq lists it as uncharacterized. The record is from RefSeq and is a predicted model, not a curated record. NCBI's taxonomy places the organism in Eukaryota, Metazoa, Chordata, Lepidosauria, Squamata, Cordylidae. The transcript has 2 exons.
GGAGAUUUGAGGGCAGGCUGGAUGACAGAGAACACAACAUUCCUGAGGAAGAGCAGGGUCACUCUUGAUUUAGGGUGAGCAUUCGUACUUGAACCGCUUUCCUUUUUAUCUUGGGGCUGAGAUCCAAGGCACACACAACCUCAUGGAGUGGAAAUGGAAUAAAUAAUAAAAAUAAUUUGUUGAGCACUUCA